AGCAGCCGCGGUAAUUCCAGCUCCAAUAGCGUAUAUUAAAGUUGUUGCAGUUAAAAGCUCGUAGUUGAAUUUCGGGAUUGACCCAUCGGUCGUGCCUUAAGGGGUAUGAACUGGUGUAGUCAAUUUCUCACCUUCUGGAGAACCGUGAUGUCCUUAAUUGGGUGCCACGAGGAACCAGGACCUUUACUUUGAAAAAAUUAGAGUGUUUAAAGCAGGCAUUUUUGCUUGAAUACAUUAGCAUGGAAUAAUAAAAUAGGACGGCAUGAUUCUAUUUUGUUGGUUUCUAGGAUCACCGUAAUGAUUAAUAGGGAUAGUUGGGGGCAUUAGUAUUCAAUUGUCAGAGGUGAAAUUCUUGGAUUUAUUGAAGACUAACUACUGCGAAAGCAUUUGCCAAGGAUGUUUUCAUUAAUCAAGAACGAAAGUUAGGGGAUCGAAGACGAUCAGAUACCGUCGUAGUCUUAACCAUAAACUAUGCCGACUAGGAAUCAGACGAUGUUAAUUUUUUAAUGGCUCGUUUGGC
This 520-nucleotide ribosomal RNA is filed under the name uncultured Entrophospora. Its description in RNAcentral is "SSU rRNA". It matches the Rfam family "Eukaryotic small subunit ribosomal RNA", at positions 569 to 1084 of the family's 1831-position model. The record is from RNAcentral. Lineage: Eukaryota; Fungi; Glomeromycota; Glomeromycetes; Entrophosporales; Entrophosporaceae.